This 238-nucleotide ribosomal RNA is filed under the name uncultured bacterium. Its description in RNAcentral is "partial 16S ribosomal RNA". It matches the Rfam family "Bacterial small subunit ribosomal RNA", at positions 100 to 334 of the family's 1533-position model. The record is from RNAcentral.
CGGAACGGGUGAGUAACGCGUGAGGAACCUGCCUCAAAGAGGGGGACAACAGUUGGAAACGACUGCUAAUACCGCAUAAGCCCACGGCUCGGCAUCGAGCAGAGGGAAAAGGAGUGAUCCACUUUGAGAUGGCCUCGCGUCCGAUUAGCUAGUUGGUGAGGUAACGGCCCACCAAGGCGACGAUCGGUAGCCGGACUGAGAGGUUGAACGGCCACAUUGGGACUGAGACACGGCCCAG